GGGUAUUUUAUAUACAAUAGCGGAGGAAAAGAAACCAACAGGGAUUGCCCCAGUAACGGCGAGUGAAGCGGCAACAGCUCAAAUUUGAAAUCUGGCCCUAGGCCCGAGUUGUAAUUUGCAGAGGAUGCUUCGGGCGCGGCGCCUUCCAAGUCCCCUGGAACGGGGCGCCAGAGAGGGUGAGAGCCCCGUACUGUCGGACGCCAAGCCUAUGUGAAGCUCCUUCGACGAGUCGAGUAGUUUGGGAAUGCUGCUCAAAAUGGGAGGUAGACCCCUUCUAAAGCUAAAUACCGGCCAGAGACCGAUAGCGCACAAGUAGAGUGAUCGAAAGAUGAAAAGCACUUUGAAAAGAGGGUUAAACAGCACGUGAAAUUGUUGAAAGGGAAGCGCUCGUGACCAGACUUGCGCCGGGGCGAUCAGCUGGCGUUCUCGCCAGUGCACUCGCCCCGGCUCAGGCCAGCGUCGGUUCGCGUGGGGGGAUAAAGGCGCUGGGAAUGUGGCUCCCCCGGGAGUGUUAUAGCCCAGCACGUCAUGCCCCCGCGCGGACCGAGGUUCGCGCUCUGCAAGGACGCUGGCGUAAUGGUUACUAGCGACCCGUCUUGAAACACGGACCAAGGAGUCGAGGUUCUGCGCGAGUGUUUGGGUGUCAAACCCGCACGCGUAAUGAAAGUGAACGUAGGUGGGAGCUUCGGCGCACCACCGACCGAUCCUGAUGUUCUCGGAUGGAUUUGAGUAGGAGCGUGGGGCCUCGGACCCGAAAGAUGGUGAACUAUGCUUGGAUAGGGUGAAGUCAGAGGAAACUCUGAUGGAGGCUCGCAGCGGUUCUGACGUGCAAAUCGAUCGUCAAAUCUGAGCAUGGGGGCGAAAGACUAAUCGAACCAUCUAGUAGCUGGUACGCAAGAUUUUCUCUCCCAGAGAAAAAAAGAAAAAUA
RNAcentral lists this ribosomal RNA (929 nucleotides) under Chaetosphaeria obovoidea. RNAcentral's name for it is "partial large subunit ribosomal RNA". It matches the Rfam family "Eukaryotic large subunit ribosomal RNA", at positions 30 to 994 of the family's 3401-position model. The record is from RNAcentral. Lineage: Eukaryota; Fungi; Ascomycota; Sordariomycetes; Chaetosphaeriales; Chaetosphaeriaceae.